GACGAACGCUGGCGGCGUGCUUAACACAUGUAAGUCGAACGGUGAAGCGCCUUCCUUUUUGGUGGGUGUGGAUGAGUGGCGAACGGGUGAGUAACACGUGAGUAACCUGCCCCCUUCUUCUGGAUAACCGCAUGAAAGUGUGGCUAAUACGGGAUAUUCUGGGUCUGUCGCAUGAUGGGUCUGGGAAAGAUAUUGUUUCGGUGGGGGAUGGGCUCGCGGCCUAUCAGCUUGUUGGUGGGGUGAUGGCCUACCAAGGCGGUGACGGGUAGCCGGCCUGAGAGGGUGGACGGUCACACUGGGACUGAGACACGGCCCAGACUCCUACGGGAGGCAGCAGUGGGGAAUAUUGCACAAUGGGCGCAAGCCUGAUGCAGCGACGCCGCGUGAGGGAUGGAGGCCUUCGGGUUGUGAACCUCUUUCGCCAGUGAAGCAGGCCUGCCUCGUUUGUGGGUGGGUUGACGGUAGCUGGAGAAGAAGCGCCGGCUAACUACGUG
RNAcentral lists this ribosomal RNA (494 nucleotides) under uncultured bacterium. RNAcentral describes it as "partial 16S ribosomal RNA". It matches the Rfam family "Bacterial small subunit ribosomal RNA", at positions 28 to 507 of the family's 1533-position model. The record is from RNAcentral.